This 497-nucleotide ribosomal RNA is filed under the name uncultured bacterium. RNAcentral's name for it is "partial 16S ribosomal RNA". It matches the Rfam family "Bacterial small subunit ribosomal RNA", at positions 28 to 507 of the family's 1533-position model. The record is from RNAcentral.
GAUGAACGCUGGCGGCGUGCCUAAUACAUGCAAGUCGAGCGAACAGACGGGGAGCUUGCUCCUUUGACGUUAGCGGCGGACGGGUGAGUAACACGUGGGUAACCUACCUAUAAGACUGGGAUAACUUCGGGAAACCGGAGCUAAUACCGGAUAAUAUUUCGAACCGCAUGGUUCGAUAGUGAAAGAUGGCUUUGCUAUCACUUAUAGAUGGACCUGCGCCGUAUUAGCUAGUUGGUAAGGUAACGGCUUACCAAGGCAACGAUACGUAGCCGACCUGAGAGGGUGAUCGGCCACACUGGAACUGAGACACGGUCCAGACUCCUACGGGAGGCAGCAGUAGGGAAUCUUCCGCAAUGGGCGAAAGCCUGACGGAGCAACGCCGCGUGAGUGAUGAAGGUCUUCGGAUCGUAAAACUCUGUUAUUAGGGAAGAACAAACGUGUAAGUAACUGUGCACGUCUUGACGGUACCUAAUCAGAAAGCCACGGCUAACUAUGUG